RNAcentral lists this ribosomal RNA (253 nucleotides) under uncultured bacterium. RNAcentral describes it as "partial 16S ribosomal RNA". It matches the Rfam family "Bacterial small subunit ribosomal RNA", at positions 524 to 776 of the family's 1533-position model. The record is from RNAcentral.
UACGUAGGGUGCAAGCGUUGUCCGGAAUUAUUGGGCGUAAAGAGCUCGUAGGCGGUUUGUUGCGUCGGCUGUGAAAUCCCGAGGCUCAACCUCGGGUCUGCAGUCGAUACGAGCAAACUAGAGUGUUGCAGGGGAGACUGGAAUUCCUGGUGUAGCGGUGAAAUGCGCAGAUAUCAGGAGGAACACCGGUGGCGAAGGCGAGUCUCUGGGCAACAACUGACGCUGAGGAGCGAAAGCGUGGGGAGCGAACAGG